RNAcentral lists this ribosomal RNA (497 nucleotides) under uncultured bacterium. Its description in RNAcentral is "partial 16S ribosomal RNA". It matches the Rfam family "Bacterial small subunit ribosomal RNA", at positions 28 to 507 of the family's 1533-position model. The record is from RNAcentral.
GACGAACGCUGGCGGCGUGCCUAAUACAUGCCAGUUGAGCGCUGAAGGUUGGUACUUGUACCAACUGGAUGAGCAGCGAACGGGUGAGUAACGCGUGGGGAAUCUGCCUUUGAGCGGGGGACAACAUUUGGAAACGAAUGCUAAUACCGCAUAAAAACUUUAAAAACAAGUUUUAAGUUUGAAAGAUGCAAUUGCAUCACUCAAAGAUGAUCCCGCGUUGUAUUAGCUAGUUGGUGAGGUAAAGGCUCACCAAGGCGAUGAUACAUAGCCGACCUGAGAGGGUGAUCGGCCACAUUGGGACUGAGACACGGCCCAAACUCCUACGGGAGGCAGCAGUAGGGAAUCUUCGGCAAUGGACGAAAGUCUGACCGAGCAACGCCGCGUGAGUGAAGAAGGUUUUCGGAUCGUAAAACUCUGUUGGUAGAGAAGAACGUUGGUGAGAGUGGAAAGCUCAUCAAGUGACGGUAACUACCCAGAAAGGGACGGCUAACUACGUG